Molecule: ribosomal RNA, 253 nt
Filed under: uncultured bacterium
Lineage: Bacteria
Description: partial 16S ribosomal RNA
Rfam family: Bacterial small subunit ribosomal RNA
Source: RNAcentral
UACGAAGGGGGCUAGCGUUGCUCGGAAUCACUGGGCGUAAAGGGCGCGUAGGCGGCUCAUGAAGGCUGUGGUGAAAGUCCGGGGCUCAACCUCGGAUCGGCCGUGGCGACUCGUGGGCUGGAGCACUGUAGAGGCGGGUGGAAUUCCGGGUGUAGCGGUGGAAUGCGUAGAGAUCCGGAGGAACACCGAUGGCGAAGGCAGGUCUCUGGGCCACUACUGACGCUGAGAAGCGAAAGCAUGGGGAGCGAACAGG